GACGAACCGUGCGAACGUUAUUCGGAAUCACUGGGCUUAAAGGGCGCGUAGGCGGGUCCGUUAGUCAGGGGUGAAAUCCCACGGCCCAACCGUGGAAGUGCCUCUGAUACUGCGGGCCUCGAGGGGGAUAGGGGCGUGCGGAACUCAGGGUGGAGCGGUGAAAUGCGUAGAUAUCCUGAGGAACACCGGUGGCGAAAGCGGCGCGCUGGAUCCCUUCUGACGCUGAGGCGCGAAAGCCAGGGGAGCAAACGGG
Molecule: ribosomal RNA, 253 nt
Filed under: uncultured bacterium
Lineage: Bacteria
Description: partial 16S ribosomal RNA
Rfam family: Bacterial small subunit ribosomal RNA
Source: RNAcentral